AGUUUACCUCAGAUUCACCCAAGUAUAGGCCAAAAUCGCGGGCUUCUGGAAGAGAAAAGAGUUGUUCAUUACUAUUUCUCUUUUGUUAGCUGGUAUUGGCAAGCCAAGGAAAGACCAAAACUGUCAAGGUAGGCCGAGAAAAGUAAACAUCUUUUAGCAAGGCUUUUAUUUUCAAGAAUAUUGUCGCAUGUUUCUUUUGCUUUUCUUUUGUUGUGUAACAAACCACCCCAAAACUUACUGGCACAACAACCACCAUUUUAUUUGGUCAUAAUUCUGCAAUCUGAGCAGGGCUCAACUAGGCAGUUCUUACAGUCAUCUUGCUGGUGGUCAUUCAUACUACUGCUUUCAGCCAGCAGGUGAGAAAUGAGAUCAGCUAGGAUACUAGCAUGGCUAAGCAUCUCUCUCCAUGUAAUCUCAGAAAUUCUCCCUCUCCAUGUGGCCUCUUUUCCACUGGGUCUCUCUAGGAGAACGGUCAGAUUCUUACAUGAUGAUCCUCUCUCUCGAAAACACAAAAGCAUAAGUUGUCGGGCCUUUUUGCACCCAGACCUGGAAGAGCUUUAAUCCCUUUGCAUUCUCUUUGUUAAAACAAGCUACAGGCCCAACCCAAACUGAAAGGAAAGUGACUUCACACGAGCAUGAAUGCCAUCAAUGUAAUAGACAACUAAAACAUUCAGGCCAAUGUUCAGAUGACUGGAAUGGACACAACCACAAGAAACUAUAAAAUGGCUAAAGCUUGAAGACUGAGCAAUUAUAGUCAGAUUCUAUUCUCUGUUCUUUCCCACAAUGAGAGUCAAUCUACGUUCACCAGGAAUCUUAAUUAUAAGUGGAACCUGUUAAUCACUUAAAAGCCAUAUGACCUUAGACAAGUCAAUUAAUCUCUCUAAGCUUCAGCUGCUGUAUUGUAAAACAGGAAAAAUUAUACAUGCCCUGCCUGUCUUAGAGGAACGCUGUAGAAUAAAUAAGAGCUUUGAAAGCUGUAAACUGCUAUACAAAUAUAAGGAAAUAUUAUUUAGCUGACAGGAUGGUAAGUAUAAUCAACCUAGCUAGGCUCCAUUCUCCUCCCUAUUAAUAAAAUUAUAACCAUCAUCAAUUACCCUAUAUGCUAAAUGACUACCACAGCAAUAUUAUAUAUAAUAGCAAGCUAAAAUUACAUUAUGUUUUGUUACUAUGAAGAAUAAUAACACUAACUACAAUUUAUUAUUGUCCAAUUAUAUGUCAGGUGCUGUUGGUUACUUUGGAUAAUCUAUAACCCUUACAAUAACUCAAUACGGUAGGUAUUAUCCCUCAUUUACAAAUAAAGAAACUGACACUUGGCUACUUUAAGUAACCUGCCCAUAGUUACACAGCCAGCAAAUGAAAAAUCC
This 1364-nucleotide long non-coding RNA is filed under the name Homo sapiens (human). RNAcentral describes it as "non-protein coding lnc-KCNV2-8:1". The record is from RNAcentral. Lineage: Eukaryota; Metazoa; Chordata; Mammalia; Primates; Hominidae.